AUUGAACGCUGGCGGCAGGCCUAACACAUGCAAGUCGAACGGUAACAGGAAGCAGCUUGCUGCUUCGCUGACGAGUGGCGGACGGGUGAGUAAUGUCUGGGAAACUGCCCGAUGGAGGGGGAUAACUACUGGAAACGGUAGCUAAUACCGCAUAACGUCGCAAGACCAAAGAGGGGGACCUUCGGGCCUCUUGCCAUCGGAUGUGCCCAGAUGGGAUUAGCUUGUUGGUGAGGUGAUGGCUCACCAAGGCGACGAUCCCUAGCUGGUCUGAGAGGAUGACCAGCCACACUGGAACUGAGACACGGUCCAGACUCCUACGGGAGGGAGCAGUGGGGAAUAUUGCACAAUGGGCGCAAGCCUGAUGCAGCCAUGCCGCGUGUAUGAAGAAGGCCUUCGUGUUGUAAAGUACUUUCAGCGGGGAGGAAGGUGUUGUGGUUAAUAACCGCAGCAAUUGACGUUACCCGCAGAAGAAGCACCGGCUAACUCCGUGCCAGCCGCCGCCGUAA
Molecule: ribosomal RNA, 506 nt
Filed under: uncultured bacterium
Lineage: Bacteria
Description: partial 16S ribosomal RNA
Rfam family: Bacterial small subunit ribosomal RNA
Source: RNAcentral